UCCCAUGUUUUUGUGCAAAAGUGGCUGCUUUGGCACAAAAUCAUGUAAAUGUAGACACAGCCCUGAUGUUUAGUUUAAGAGGGCUAUUUUAUUUUCCUGUAUGGACCAACCUUAGCUUUGCAGAAGAGCUGAGAGGGACUUGAGCCUGUAGCACUGGUGGAUUUCCUUACCUGCAGCCCAUGUAUGAACAGAACCAAAAUGAGUUUGCUGAAGCACAAAACUCUCAGUAACGAAGCACAGUUAUUUUUUUUCCCUCUCUUUUUGAGACAGACUGAAAAUGCCUGUUGCUAUUGAUCUUGUCUCCAUUUUCUUUCCUAUUGCGGAUAGUGAGUGAAAACCAUGUGUUAAGAUGAUUUACCUAGUGAAAUUCUGAGAGGGUGAUCAUUUCCUGUUAGAGGAUUAGGCUACUAUUUCAGACUUUUAUAUGUUCUUUGAGUAGCCUUUGUUUUGUAUGGACAAUCCCAGAACCUAGGGGUGCUUUUGUCACGUGUCCCUUCUUAAAAAGUGGCAAUUGCACCGCUGUUGUAUACAGCCUUGCAAGCGAAUAAAACACUCAUGCCUGCCCUAGUUCAAAGGUCAUUUUAAAUUGAUCAAUUUAAAAAUUAGUGGGGGGAGGAAAAUGAGCCAGAAUUGGCAGGUCCUACCUACUGAACUCAGGUGCUAAGUUGUCAUGUGUUCAACAUAUCUGCUAAGGCCAGUUACAUCCGCAAAGACAAUGACCUUUUUGAAGCAUAUUUCACUCUCUCAGCCUCCUCAGGCUGAAGCAAUUAUACUGUGAGCCAUUAAACAGAAAAAAGAUACAGCCAUGAGACUAGUUUUGCCACCAAAGCCCACAACGAGUUGAAGGGCAUUUUUCAGAGCCGCCUGCAUGGGGUUGGUUUUCUGUUCUCCCAGGGCAGACUUGAGGAAAAUGUUUCUAACUUAUUCAUGAAUCAUGUUACUGAUCAGCAUUGACUCUGAAUCAAUUUUAAUGACACUAACAUCCAUAUCUGUAUAUAUCUAAAUGGGCAUUAUUUUUUUAGGUCAAUGUACUAUUUUCCCCACUCAACCUGCUCCUGUCUUAACUUUUUUACAAGGGUCUUGAUUCUUGUCAGCAAAAAAAACAACUUGUUCUGAAAAUUCAGAGCAUGCUAUCGGAUUACACAGGGUGCUUUGUGACAUGUUACUGAGCAACAAAAAUAAAGCAAAAGAUGCAAUUAUGGCAAACUGGAAGUUGAAGUUACCAGCUGUAACUUUUUGCUCUGCAUAGUUCUGUAGUUUAAAAAUAAAAUGAAUGAACCAAUAAAUUUUUUUUGAAAUGUCUGUUUA
Non-coding RNA from Pelodiscus sinensis (Chinese soft-shelled turtle), 1308 nucleotides. Lineage: Eukaryota; Metazoa; Chordata; Testudines; Trionychidae. The record is from RefSeq and is a predicted model, not a curated record.